Molecule: long non-coding RNA, 920 nt
Organism: Trachemys scripta elegans
Lineage: Eukaryota; Metazoa; Chordata; Testudines; Emydidae
Exons: 5
Source: RefSeq, a predicted model, not a curated record
GAGUGAGCUGGAACCUGCAGCAGUCUUUAAACGUGCUUAUCAACACACAUCACAAGAGAUCUUCAUCUCGUAUACCUAGAGACGCCACUCCACAACCUCAUUCUGCACCGCUCCUGCAUCUGUCAGCCAUUGAACCUGGCCAAGAGUCUUUCUAUAUUAUUCUCAAGAGAGUUUGAGUAAUCCCAGGACCCGAUAAGAAAUGCAACCAAUGUGUUUCAUGCACAUUAAACGGUCAAUAGGAAGACGUACUUGCGCGUCUAGGGCCUAAUCCAGCUCCUAUUAAAAUCAAGAGAAAGAUGCCAAGGCUGAUCCUGAGCUGAUGUAAAUUGUCCAAGCUUCACUGACUUAAAAUCAACAAAAAAUGAGAGGAUGAAAGGGGGAACAAAUGAUCACUCAUUGACAACAAAGUCAAGGAGGAUAUGUGAUGUCUUUAUCAGCCAAUCAGUGGAAAUCAUGCUGUGGUCUGGUCACAAUAUCUCAGAACCUGGGAAAUUGAAAAACUGCAGGGGUAGCAAAUUCAUGAAUCCCAAAGAUUUAGGAUCUUCAUGCGGAAUAGUCAAGGGUUCUAUUCUAUUUCCCAGAAUUUAUGCCUUUGUUUUCUUAUAAUAAAGGAAGUUUCUAGCUUCUGGUUGGGAAGAUAACCUUGACAAUAUAAACCAACGUACUUUCAUCUUGCGGAGUCCUCAUCCUUACCGGCUAAAAACAAUAGCAUCAAGAGAUAUUAACUUCCUCCAUUCAUCUUAAAAGCGUGUCAGCUUUGAAGCAUAAAAUAUGAACAAUUAAGUGCCAACACAGUUAACCAAUUCACUGCUCAUUGUCAAAUUAGAAACAUCCAGUAAACAUGAUUAUCCUGUGGCUGGAUGUUCCUGGUGUGUCUUGACAUGCUUAUUCAGUUGAAAGGAUGUUAUGUGAGAAUAAGA